AUGGCCCUUUUUUCCACGUCUAGAUGUUCUUGGUUAGGGCUCUGUGUGCUCCUUGUCAUGAGCUGCCUGAUGCUAGCCGGCUGCUCUUCGGAGUCGUUGCUGACAAGCGAUGAUGAGCACUUGGGCAACCAUCAUGAUCUGAUGAUGGACCGUUUCCACUUGUGGAUGACGGUGCAGAACAGAUCCUACUCCACCGCCGAUGUGAAGGCUCGCCGGUAUGAGGUAUACCGGAGCAACAUGAGGUUUAUAGAGGCCGUGAAUGCCCAGGCGGCCACCUCUGGGCUCACGUACGAGCUUGGGGAGGGUCCCUUCACCGACCUUUCAAGUGAAGAAUUCAUGGCGCUUUAUACCGGCCAGAUUCCAGAGGGUGACCAUGGGCAAGAUGGUGAGGAAGACCAGCAGAUUAUCACCACCCAUGCUGGGCCUAUGGGUCCUGCGGGCACAUAUUCUGUGUACGCCAACUUCUCGGCCGGCGCGCCGAGGAGCAUCGACUGGAGGAACAGAGGUGCCGUCACCCCCGUAAAAAACCAAGGGCAAUGUGGAUCUUGCUGGGCAUUCUCCACGGUGGCUACAAUUGAAGGACUGCACAAGAUCAAGAGAGGGACUAUUGUCUCCCUGUCGGAGCAACAGCUGGUAGACUGCGACUCCCUUGAUGGCGGUUGCAAUGGUGGCCAGACCAGCAGAGCUUUCCUGUGGAUCAAAAGGAAUGGAGGGAUCACCACCACAGCUUCCUACAGAUACAAGGCAUCCAGAGGUCAGUGCAUGAGGAACCGUAAGCCGGCGGCAACAAUUAUUGGCUCGAGGGCAGUCAAGAGCAACAGCGAGGUGUCACUGAUGAACGCCGUGGCAAACCGUCCUGUAGCCGUUGCCAUCUCGGUAGAUGGCAAGCACUUCCACCACUUCAAGCUGGGCAUCUACAAUGGGCCAUGUGGUGAUGGUAAGCUCAACCAUGCUGUCACCGUAGUAGGUUAUGGGCAACAGAAACAAAACGGGGCCAAGUACUGGAUCGUGAAGAAUUCAUGGGGGGGCACAUGGGGUGACAAAGGCUUCAUGCAAAUGAAGAGGGGAACAAAGAAUCCAUCAGGGCAGUGUGGCAUUGCGAUGCAGCCAGUUUUUCCCCUUAUGAAAGGUGGAAGAACGACUGAUUAA
Molecule: ribosomal RNA, 1149 nt
Filed under: Triticum aestivum (bread wheat)
Lineage: Eukaryota; Viridiplantae; Streptophyta; Magnoliopsida; Poales; Poaceae
Description: partial small subunit ribosomal RNA
Source: RNAcentral